RNAcentral lists this ribosomal RNA (429 nucleotides) under Actinomycetes bacterium. RNAcentral describes it as "Actinobacteria bacterium partial 16S ribosomal RNA". It matches the Rfam family "Bacterial small subunit ribosomal RNA", at positions 355 to 776 of the family's 1533-position model. Lineage: Bacteria; Bacillati; Actinomycetota; Actinomycetes. The record is from RNAcentral.
UAGGGAAUCUUCCGCAAUGGGCGAAAGCCUGACGGAGCAACGCCGCGUGAGUGAUGAAGGUCUUCGGAUCGUAAAACUCUGUUAUUAGGGAAGAACAAAUGUGUAAGUAACUAUGCACGUCUUGACGGUACCUAAUCAGAAAGCCACGGCUAACUACGUGCCAGCAGCCGCGGUAAUACGUAGGUGGCAAGCGUUAUUCGGAAUUAUUGGGCGUAAAGCGCGCGUAGGCGGUUUUUUAAGUCUGAUGUGAAAGCCCACGGCUCAACCGUGGAGGGUCAUUGGAAACUGGAAAACUUGAGUGCAGAAGAGGAAAGUAGAAUUCCAUGUGUAGCGGUGAAAUGCGCAGAGAUAUGGAGGAACACCAGUGGAGAAUGCGACUUUCUGGUCUGUAACUGACGCUGAUGUGCGAAAGCGUGGGGAUCAAACAGG